UAGCUUGAAAGAAGAGGCAAAAUGGCAACAUGGGAACACUUUACUUUGUGGUGCAUCAGAAGCGGACUACAUUGACGAUUCACCCCUUUGACAUCGUAGUUAUACCAUAAAUAAGAAGAUGCAUCUCAUCCGAACUUUAUAACACUAAAUUGGAAGGAUUAGGAGUGUCACAUACACGUAACGCAAAGGAAUCUGCCUGAAGGAAGAGUGAUGACAUUUCAAAGUGACCAUUAACGAGGAGAUUGGAUGCGUUUUCUGUCAAAGACAGCGAAGGGUUCGGCGGAGUUAGCAAUCAUGUCAAAAUUGUUUUACUUGUCUCCUAGAUAAAUUAUGCUGGAUGGACAUUUAAUAUGGACUGUCACGUCGAAUAUUUUGUUUAAUAUGUAAUAUUCUGCAUUAAAAACGUCUAUCAACUGACCAUGUCGUUCUGCCGCCCCUAUACAUAGGCCGUGCAGAAUUUUAAACAUAAAAGAAUUUUUCAUUCUGUUCAAAAUUGUGCCAUCAAUGACGUAUUAAUUUUUUUCGAAGAAAAAUAUUGAAGACGCACUAGAUUUAUCUCUGUACAAAAUAACUUACAAAAAUGGUUUAAUUUGGCUACCUUUUGGUUUUCAGUGGGGGGCAUUUGUACGAUGGUAUGGAGUAAAGCAGCAUUCACAUCCAAAGUUGAUCAGCGGACUAACAGAUCCACGGCUCAAAUAUGGCCGACCCACUUGAAAGCUUGCCGCAUGAUUUCCUAAAAGACGAUGUAAGAUUUCGCGGCAAGCUUACAUAUUAUUUUGACCGCAUGGUUCCUUUUUUAUAAAUCAAAAUUAUUAGUAGUUUGUGCAGUAGAUUCCAAAAUGCAUACAAUCUUCGACGAAUUUUGAGAAAAGGAAUUUUUUGUGAAAAUGAACUGAUGGGAACUGCUAUUAUCGUAUUGUAAUUAUACUUUGCAAGUUUGACUUUUGUGCCAAAAUCUUUGCUUUUAUUUUAUACAAUCAUUUGGAUAAUAAGAUACGUCUGUAUGUUCAAUUUAUUUCAAAAUUUGCAAAAAUGAUCAAAUGUCUUUCUCCCUCAGUUUGGCCCGAACCCCCAAUCUUCUUUACGUUAGUUCGUCCGAGGCAAGCGCGCUAUCCACUCCCCCAAGUGUGCCCGCCAACCCUCCUCGGGUGAGCUUUCUUCUUAUAAUAAACGGAAAGAAAUUCUAAAUGCCUUCCUUGAAACUUGAAAGGUCUUUGGCAAUUUCCAAGCGCCCUACCCGGAGCUCAAGCCUCAACCUUCCCCCCCCUCCCUUCCCCGGAUCAAUAAAAACAGAGAGACAUUUUGCAUACAGGAGUUUUACUUUUUAUUAAGAGCAAAAUACAUUUCCAUUGACGUAUUCAUUCAUUUUAAAGCAUCUCAUCGUAAGU
This is a long non-coding RNA of Lingula anatina, 1388 nucleotides long. NCBI's taxonomy places the organism in Eukaryota, Metazoa, Brachiopoda, Lingulata, Lingulida, Lingulidae. The record is from RefSeq and is a predicted model, not a curated record.